This 304-nucleotide ribosomal RNA is filed under the name Haliclona cf. caerulea Caribbean StT 13. Its description in RNAcentral is "partial 16S ribosomal RNA". It matches the Rfam family "Bacterial large subunit ribosomal RNA", at positions 1960 to 2319 of the family's 2925-position model. Lineage: Eukaryota; Metazoa; Porifera; Demospongiae; Haplosclerida; Chalinidae. The record is from RNAcentral. RNAcentral also lists the same sequence under 8 other names.
CGCAAUCAAUAGCCAAUUAAUUGUUGGCAAGUAUGAAUGGCGUAACGAAUGCCCCACUGUCUCAAGAUAAAAACCAAUGAAAUUGAAAUCGUGGUGAAGAUGCCACGUACAAAUUGUAAGACGAGAAGACCCCAUUGAGCUUUACUGGAGGCUUAUAUUGUUUUUUUUCAAGUUAAUGUGAAGAUUAUGUGGGUAUAUUAUGAAAAACCGCUCAUUAAUUAUAAAAAAACGGAUUGAGUAUACGCCGGACAGUUUGGUUGGGGCGACCGCCUUCUAAAGAGUAACGAAGGUGUACAUAAGGUAA